AACGCGAAGAACCUUACCAACCUUUGACAUGGGACGUAUGGUUGCCAGAGAUGGUGGCCUUCAGUUCGGCUGGCGUCCACACAGGUGCUGCAUGGCUGUCGUCAGCUCGUGUCGUGAGAUGUUGGGUUAAGUCCCGCAACGAGCGCAACCCUCAUCUUCAGUUGCCAUCAGUUCGGCUGGGCACUCUGAAGAAACUGCCGGUGACAAGCCGGAGGAAGGUGGGGAUGACGUCAAGUCCUCAUGGCCCUUACAGGUUGGGCUACACACGUGCUACAAUGGCGGUGACAAUGGGUUGCGAGUCCGCGAGGGCAAGCUAAUCUCAAAAAGCCGUCUCAGUUCGGAUUGCACUCUGCAACUCGAGUGCAUGAAGUCGGAAUCGCUAGUAAUCGUGGAUCAGCAUGCCACGGUGAAUACGUUCCCGGGCCUUGUACACACCGCUACAGU
This 444-nucleotide ribosomal RNA is filed under the name uncultured bacterium. RNAcentral describes it as "bacterial SSU rRNA". It matches the Rfam family "Bacterial small subunit ribosomal RNA", at positions 958 to 1401 of the family's 1533-position model. The record is from RNAcentral.